UCAAACUGGGAUUAGAUACCCCACUAUUUUUAGUUGUAAAUUUAGUUUAAGCUUACCAGAGUACUACGAACAAAAAAGUUUAAAACUCAAAGGGCUUGGCGGUGUUUUAGACCUCUCAGGGGAACCUGUCUCGUAAUCGACAGUCCGCGUUAAACCUAACCUUUUAUAGCAAUACAGCUUGUAUACCGUCGUCGUCAGGUAACUUCUUAAAAUAUAGUAGUUAGCCCGAGAAUCAAGUUAAUUAGGACGUCAGAUCAAGGUGCAGCCAAUAAAAAGGUGAGGAUGGGUUACAAUUACAUAUUUGUAAAUACGGAAAAUAUUUGAAAUAUAGUAUCAUAAAGGAGGACUUGAAAGUAAUUUUAGUUAUAUAGAUAGAAUGAAUACGGCUCUGAAACGUGCACACACCGCCCGUCACCCUCUGCAGUCAA
Molecule: ribosomal RNA, 428 nt
Filed under: Conus lohri
Lineage: Eukaryota; Metazoa; Mollusca; Gastropoda; Neogastropoda; Conidae
Description: partial 12S ribosomal RNA
Rfam family: Microsporidia small subunit ribosomal RNA
Source: RNAcentral